UGCUUCUGUGUGAUAUGUUUGAUAUUGGGUUGUUUAAUUAGGAACCAACUAAAUGUCAAACAUAUUCUUACAGCAGCUG
MicroRNA precursor from Chlorocebus sabaeus (green monkey), 79 nucleotides. Ensembl annotates it as microRNA 190b. Its record names the gene MIR190B. NCBI's taxonomy places the organism in Eukaryota, Metazoa, Chordata, Mammalia, Primates, Cercopithecidae. The record is from Ensembl.